CCUACGGGUGGCAGCAGUGGGGAAUAUUGCACAAUGGGGGAAACCCUGAUGCAGCGACGCCGCGUGAGCGAGGAAGUAUUUCGGUAUGUAAAGCUCUAUCAGCAGGGACGAAAAAAGACGGUACCUGACUAAGAAGCCCCGGCUAACUACGUGCCAGCAGCCGCGGUAAUACGUAGGGGGCAAGCGUUAUCCAGAUUUACUGGGUGUAAAGGGAGCGUAGACGGCAAGGCAAGCCAGAAGUGAAAGGGCAGGGCUCAACCCUGUACAUGCUUUUGGAAACUGUAUGGCUGGAGUGCAGGAGAGGUAAGUGGAAUUCCUAGUGGAGCGGUGAAAUGCGUAGAUAUUAGGAGGAACACCAGUGGCGAAGGCGGCUUACUGGACUGUAACUGACGUUGAGGCUCGAAAGCGUGGGGAGCAAACAGGAUUAGAUACCCCAGUAGUC
Molecule: ribosomal RNA, 442 nt
Filed under: uncultured bacterium
Lineage: Bacteria
Description: partial 16S ribosomal RNA
Rfam family: Bacterial small subunit ribosomal RNA
Source: RNAcentral